AAUCUGGCUCCUUCGGGGUCCGAGUUGUAAUUUGCAGAGGAUGCUUCGGCGAACAGUCCGGGCCAAGUUCCCUGGAACGGGACGUCGUAGAGGGUGAGAGCCCCGUACCCGCCCGGAUUCCCUUCGCCCUGUGAAGCUCCUUCGACGAGUCGAGUUGUUUGGGAAUGCAGCUCUAAGCGGGAGGUAAAUUUCUUCUAAAGCUAAAUACCGGCCAGAGACCGAUAGCGCACAAGUAGAGUGAUCGAAAGAUGAAAAGCACUUUGGAAAGAGAGUCAAAUAGCACGUGAAAUUGUUGAAAGGGAAGCUCUUGCUGCCAGACUUGCCGCGGGUGCUCAGCCGUCCCUCGGGGCGGUGUACUCUCCUGCGGCGGGCCAGCGUCAGUUCGGGCGGCCGGAUAAAGGCUCGGGGAAUGUGGCCCCCCUCGGGGGGUGUUAUAGCCCCGGGUGCAAUGCGGCCUGCCCGGACUGAGGCUCGCGUUCGCUCGGACGCUGGCGUAAUGGUCGCAAGCGACCCGUCUUGAAACACGGACCAAGGAGUCUAACAUCUGUGCGAGUGUUCGGGUGUCAAACCCGUGCGCGUAAUGAAAGUGAACGGAGGUGGGAACCCGCAAGGGUGCACCAUCGACCGAUCCUGAUGUCUUCGGAUGGAUUUGAGUAGGAGCAUAGCUGUUGGGACCCGAAAGAUGGUGAACUAUGCGUGUUUAGGGUGAAGCCAGAGGAAACUCUGGUGGAGGCUCGCAGCGGUUCUGACGUGCAAAUCGAUCGUCAAAAAUGCGUAUAGGGG
RNAcentral lists this ribosomal RNA (783 nucleotides) under Arthonia sp. Its description in RNAcentral is "partial large subunit ribosomal RNA". It matches the Rfam family "Eukaryotic large subunit ribosomal RNA", at positions 119 to 923 of the family's 3401-position model. Lineage: Eukaryota; Fungi; Ascomycota; Arthoniomycetes; Arthoniales; Arthoniaceae. The record is from RNAcentral.